CCCAGCCCAGUCAGAAGUUUGCCAAGAUAACCUCAUUGCAUCAUGUGCCAAAGAGCCUCAAACAGCUGGAGCAUUGAAGGACUGUGACAUUUAAACAAGAUACUGAAAAUGCAAGGCAACAUCUAGGUUCAAGGAACAGAUUAAAUACCUGGGACACUGACUUUUUUCAGUGGUGGCUUCUGGUGAGAAGCAAGGACAGUGUGGAGCCUGAAGUCAAGCAGAGGACUGUAAUUCCUCUCUCCAUUAACUAGAUGUGACACUUCAGCAACUUUUUCCUGACAUACAUCUGUUUUUCUGGAGCCCCUUAUCCUGAGGGAUCUACUGGACCUCCAGAUGCCCUUCAAGUAUUAGAUACCCACUGUGUGAUUUUCAAGCUUCUCCUAAGAAAAAAAUGGAUGCUCUCCUGAGAACAUCCAAUCUUCUGCACAACCACCCAGCAUAUGUGGAAGCAGCAUGAACUAAAAUCUCUUCAGAACUGGCUCAACAUUUGCAAUUCUUCAUGCUGCCAAGUUCAUGGAAAAUUACUGGUACUUGGUAGUUCUGACUUACUGCGUGGUACUGCUGUCCUUCUCACUUUGGAACUCCCAGCUCACUUUGUCUUCCUGAAAGCAGGCUUGGCUGUUCUGCCUCUCACAGACCAGCAUAGAUCUGUUUUCUCUGAGCCACUGUGAAACAUGCUGCUUCACUUCAUACACACUUCCAGAAAUAAAGGCAGGCGAAUCCUGAUGUGAUGUUCUGAUAGAGCAUAUGCACUCAAUUCAUCCUACUUCCUAAAUCAAAAACUUGCAGGAUUUUUUUGGCUAUACAAAGGGAAGAGUAUAGUUGGUGGAUUGACUAGACGACAGCCAGUUAGGGAGGCAAAGACUGACAAAAAAGAAAUGCACUCUCAGAUUUUUCUUUAAAUCUGCAGUACAAAGGGAACUGGAAGACAGUUUCAGCGGAAGAGAUGAAGACAGACAAAUGGCUUUAAACUCAGUAGAACAGUAGGCAAGGUAAAAGGUUAAUUAUUCCUUUGAUGGAAGUUAGAGUCCCUGAAUUAUUGGGAGCAACUUCAUCUCCUCCCUAGAAGCAAUUCCUGGAUUUAGUAAUUUCUGCUCCCCCUGGCUUCAGUUAUGACACUGCUCCAUGCUCACUGCUUGGCUUCCCACCAGCCCCAGGCUUCCCAAAGUGGAAGGAAGUAAUUUCUGCUGCAAACGUCCAUAGGAAAUUAAGAGUUUGGCAUGGCAUUUUAGUUUACAAGAAGUCUGAAUAAGAGAAGCAACACAUCUCUACAACCGCAGGACAUCACAGCCUGGAGCAUGGUGUCAGAACAAGACCAAGAGAUGGGAAGGUGGAAGAGGUUAUAUUCCCUCACAGAGACAGAUUUAGGAAACAGGAGGUAGCUGCACGCCUAUUUCUUAUAGUGAGUAAUUAACACAGAUCACAAGAAAAGACAGCAGCAAUGGGCAGCAGAGCUUGCUGGAGUUUUUGACACUUGUUUUGUCAAUGAGCUGUGGCUUUAACAGCAUUUCCAAACAAACCAUGCUGGACAGCAUAUGGCAUACCCCAGGUGUUUGUGUACCUGUAGGAACUUUUCUCCUAAUUUCAAAAGUCAUGGAAGUUACAAGGUAUCCUUUUCCACCUUGUUUCUAGAAGGCAUAGUUCCUGGUAAGAGGGCACACUUUGGAGAUAAGCAGGAUAACUCCAAACAUAUUACAACUAGCCUUUCAAAAUCACAAGGAUAUGAACUACUGGGGACAGUGGAGAAACUGCUGGGAGAUUUCUACAAGAAAAGACUUCAUUAGGAUUGAACUGAAAAAAAAUCCAACACAGCCACUGGGGUCAGCCAUGGUGCUGCUUUUGAGGUGACUGAUAAGAAAAAUGCUGACAAUCUUAGAGCUAAACCUUUCUCUUGAGUGCCCCUGCAUAAAGGAUGUGAAGUUUCAUAAUAAGGUAGUGAUAAUUCUUGUUUUUAUUAUGAGCUUUGCAAUAUUUGAUAUUUGUUUAUAGACCAGCUCCCAGAAUCAAAGGAUUAGGUGAAAGUCUGUUUUAAUUAAGAAACAAAGGUUUUCUUCAGAUUUUUCUGCCCACUUUGUGAGAUGUUGGGAGGAAGAAUAUCACUUUUCUUUCAUGGUAAUCAUGAGAUGCUCUGUGCUGACUUAUUCAGACAUGCUACUCAGUUUUAUGCUAGGUAACAUUUUGAUGAUUAUCUUUACACUUUGGAGAUGUAAUGCUGCAUUGUCUUACUAAAUAAAAGAUUAAAU
Cyanistes caeruleus (blue tit) is the source of this 2243-nucleotide non-coding RNA. NCBI's taxonomy places the organism in Eukaryota, Metazoa, Chordata, Aves, Passeriformes, Paridae. The record is from RefSeq and is a predicted model, not a curated record.